Molecule: long non-coding RNA, 476 nt
Filed under: Marmota monax (woodchuck)
Lineage: Eukaryota; Metazoa; Chordata; Mammalia; Rodentia; Sciuridae
Source: RNAcentral
GAUUAGCAGAGUGGAUCAAAAACAAGAUCCAACUAUAUUGCAAAAGACUCGUUUCUUUUUUUUUUUCUUUAAAUAUAUAUAUAUAUGUGUGUGUGUGUGUGUGUGUGUGUGUAUUUGUUGUUGUUGAUGGACUUUUAUUUAUAUGUGAUGCUGAGAAUCAAACCCAGUGCUUCACACAUGCUAGGCAAGUGCUCUACUAUUGAGCUACAACCUCAGCCAAGAGACUCAUUUCAUAGGCAAAGACACAGACUGAAGGUAAACGGAUGGAAAAAAAUAUUCUAUACAAAUGGAGUCUGCAAACAUGCAGGCAUCUGAAAACCAGAUAUUCUCAUAUCUGACAAAGCAGAUAUCAAGCAAAAAUUAUUUGGAAGGCACAAAGAAGGCCACUACAUCCUGGUAAAUGGAAAAUUCCAACAAGAAGAUAUAAUGAGAGCUGGGGUUGUGGCUCAGCAGUAGAGUGCUUGCCUAACACGUGC